This 484-nucleotide ribosomal RNA is filed under the name uncultured bacterium. RNAcentral's name for it is "partial 16S ribosomal RNA". It matches the Rfam family "Bacterial small subunit ribosomal RNA", at positions 30 to 507 of the family's 1533-position model. The record is from RNAcentral.
AUUGAACGCUGGCGGCAGGCCUAACACAUGCAAGUCGAGCGGAUGAAGGGAGCUUGCUCCUGGAUUCAGCGGCGGACGGGUGAGUAAUGCCUAGGAAUCUGCCUGGUAGUGGGGGAUAACGUCCGGAAACGGGCGCUAAUACCGCAUACGUCCUGAGGGAGAAAGUGGGGGAUCUUCGGACCUCACGCUAUCAGAUGAGCCUAGGUCGGAUUAGCUAGUUGGUGGGGUAAAGGCCUACCAAGGCGACGAUCCGUAACUGGUCUGAGAGGAUGAUCAGUCACACUGGAACUGAGACACGGUCCAGACUCCUACGGGAGGCAGCAGUGGGGAAUAUUGGACAAUGGGCGAAAGCCUGAUCCAGCCAUGCCGCGUGUGUGAAGAAGGUCUUCGGAUUGUAAAGCACUUUAAGUUGGGAGGAAGGGUAGUAGGUUAAUACCUUGCUGUUUUGACGUUACCAACAGAAUAAGCACCGGCUAACUUCGUG